GAUGAACGCUGGCGGCGUGCUUAACACAUGCAAGUCGAACGAUGAAGCUCAGCUUGCUGGGUGGAUUAGUGGCGAACGGGUGAGUAACACGUGAGUAACCUGCCCUUAACUCUGGGAUAAGCCUGGGAAACUAGGUCUAAUACCGGAUAGGAGCGCCUACCGCAUGGUGGGUGUUGGAAAGAUUUAUCGGUUUUGGAUGGACUCGUGGCCUAUCAGCUUGUUGGUGAGGUAAUGGCUCACCAAGGCGACGACGGGUAGCCGGCCUGAGAGGGUGACCGGCCACACUGGGACUGAGACACGGCCCAGACUCCUACGGGAGGCAGCAGUGGGGAAUAUUGCACAAUGGGCGAAAGCCUGAUGCAGCGACGCCGCGUGAGGGAUGACGGCCUUCGGGUUGUAAACCUCUUUCAGUAGGGAAGAAGCGAAAGUGACGGUACCUGCAGAAGAAGCACCGGCUAACUACGUG
This 466-nucleotide ribosomal RNA is filed under the name uncultured bacterium. Its description in RNAcentral is "partial 16S ribosomal RNA". It matches the Rfam family "Bacterial small subunit ribosomal RNA", at positions 28 to 507 of the family's 1533-position model. The record is from RNAcentral.